RNAcentral lists this ribosomal RNA (325 nucleotides) under uncultured eukaryote. RNAcentral's name for it is "partial 18S ribosomal RNA". It matches the Rfam family "Eukaryotic small subunit ribosomal RNA", at positions 1470 to 1796 of the family's 1831-position model. The record is from RNAcentral.
CCCUUAGAUGUUCUGGGCCGCACACGCGCUACACUGAAGGAGGCAGCGUGUACUCCUGGAUCGAAAGAUUUGGGUAACCCGCGAAUCUCCUUCGUGCUAGGGAUUGAGGUUUGCAAUUAUCCUUCAUGAACGAGGAAUUCCCAGUAAGUGCAAGUCAUGAGCUUGCGCUGACUACGUCCCUGCCCUUUGUACACACCGCCCGUCGCACCUACCGAUUGAAUGGUCCGGUGAAAUCUUCGGAUCUGAGAGAUGUCUGAUUAAUUUCGGACGCCUUUUGGAAAAGUUGUUUAAACCUUNCNAUUUAGNGGAAGGUGAANUCGUANCA